This 234-nucleotide transfer RNA is filed under the name Pneumocystis jirovecii. RNAcentral's name for it is "tRNA-Pseudo(TTT)". Lineage: Eukaryota; Fungi; Ascomycota; Pneumocystomycetes; Pneumocystales; Pneumocystaceae. The record is from RNAcentral.
AAAAAUAUAUUUAAUAAAAUUUUAAUUUUUUAAUUUCUUUUUUGAACUGAAACUUAUAAUAUUUUUAUAAUAUUGAAUUAUUUUAUAUAAAUUUUAAAUGUAAUAUUAAAUUAUUUUGAUUCAUUAAUCUUUAAUAAAUGAUUUGAAUUUUAUUAAAUUUUAUAUAAGGAUUACUUCAUUUUAAGAUAAUUAGAAUAUAUAAAAAAUUAGCAUUUAUUUAUUUAAAUAUUUUUA